This 434-nucleotide ribosomal RNA is filed under the name uncultured Butyrivibrio sp. RNAcentral's name for it is "partial 16S ribosomal RNA". It matches the Rfam family "Bacterial small subunit ribosomal RNA", at positions 341 to 792 of the family's 1533-position model. Lineage: Bacteria; Bacillati; Bacillota; Clostridia; Lachnospirales; Lachnospiraceae. The record is from RNAcentral.
ACGGGAGGCAGCAGUGGGGGAUAUUGCACAAUGGGGGGAACCCUGAUGCAGCGACGCCGCGUGGGUGAAGAAGUUUUUCGGAAUGUAAAGCCCUAUCAGCAGGGAAGAUAAUGACGGUACCUGACUAAGAAGCCCCGGCUAACUACGUGCCAGCAGCCGCGGUAAUACGUAGGGGGCAAGCGUUGUUCGGAAUCAUUGGGCGUAAAGGGCAUGUAGGCGGUCUGUCAAGCCAGGCGUGAAAGCCAGGGGCUCAACCCCUGAACUGCGCUUGGAACUGGCGGACUGGAGUCGCUGAGGGGGAACCGGAAUUCCUGGUGUAGGGGUGAAAUCUGUAGAUAUCAGGAAGAACACCGAUGGCGAAGGCAGGUUUCCAGCAGACGACUGACGCUGAGGUGCGAAGGUGCGGGGAGCAAACAGGAUUAGAUACCCUGGUA